Molecule: long non-coding RNA, 321 nt
Organism: Oncorhynchus tshawytscha (Chinook salmon)
Lineage: Eukaryota; Metazoa; Chordata; Actinopteri; Salmoniformes; Salmonidae
Source: Ensembl
GUAGUGUUCUAGUCAGUCACAGGGAGGUUAAUGUGUUCUAGUCAGUCACAGGGAGGUUAAUGUGUUCUAGUCAGUCACAGGGAGGUUAAUGUGUUCUAGUCAGUCACAGGGAGGUUAAUGUGUUCUAGUCAGUCAUGGAUGACAACAAAGAACAGGUGCUUCAUUAUAAGAUUACUGGUUUUGGUUCUGCUGGUAUGUAGCUUGUUUUUGGUUGCACAUUCAGGAAUUGCUGAAGACUUGUAACAUUUACCUUGAUGCUAACUCUGCAAAUAGCACUGAUUUGAAAAGUCAUAGUCAAAUCGACCAAUAAUUGAAUAAUAC